GGGGCAUCGGACGUGGCUGCGCGAGGACCCUAAUCCUGUGGCUCAGAUUGAACACCUGCGGAUGCUUUACAUGCAAGUCAGCGGCAGCACGGACUUCGGUCUGGUGGCGAGUGGCGAGCAAGGGUGAGUAAUGUAUCGGAACGUGCCUGAGCUGGCGGGGGAUAACUACGCGAAAGCGCGCUAAUACCGCAUACGCGCGUCGGGGAAAAGCGGGGACCUUCGGGCCUCGCGCUAUUAAGGAAGCGGCCGAUAUCGGAUUAACAGGUGGUGGGAGUAACGGCUCACCCAAGGCGACGUCCGUAGCUGGUUUGAGAGGACGACCAGCCGCACUGGGACUGAGACCUGGCCCAAGACUCCUACGGGAGGCAGCAGUGAAAUUUUGGACAAUGGGGAAACCUGAUCCAGCCAUCCCGCGUGUGCGAUGAAGGCCUUCGGGUUGUAAAGCACUUUGGCGGGAAAGAAGCAGCACAGGAUAAUACCCCGUGCAACUGACGUACCUGCGGGAAUAAGCACCGGCCUAACUACGUGCCAGCAGCCGCGGUAAUACGUAGGGUGCAAGCGUUAAUCGGAAUUACUGGGCGUAAAGCGUGCGCAGCGGUUCGGAAGAAAGACGAAAUCCCAGAGCUUAACUUUUGAACUGCAUUUUUAACUACCGAGCUAGAGUGUGUCAGAGGGAGGUGGAAUUCCGCGAUAGCAGUGAAAUGCGUAGAUAUGCGGAGAGGAACACCGAUGGCAGAAGGCAGCCUCCUGGGGGAUAACACUGAUGACGCUCAUGCACGAAAAGCGACAGAACGCAGAAACAGGAUUAGAUACCCUGGUAGUCCACGCCCUAAACGAUGUCAACUAGCUGUUGGGGCCUUCGGGCCUUGGUAGCUUUCAACCGCGCGAAAGUUGACUUUAGAGUACGGUCGCAAGAUUAAAACUCAAAGGAAUUGACGGGGACCAUACAAGCGAUGGAUGAUGUAUGGAUUAAUUCGAUGCAACGCGAAAAACCUGCCUACCCUUGACAUGUCUGGAAUCCCGAAGAGAUUUGGGAGUGCUCGCAAGAACCGGAACACAGGUGCUGCAUGGCUGUCGUCAGCUCGUGUCGUGAGAUGUUGGGUUAAGUCCCUGUGAAGCGCAACCCUUGUCAUUAGUUGCUACCGAAAGGGUGACCUCAAUGGACUGCCGGUGAGCAAACCGGAGGAAGGUGGGGAUGACGUCAAGUCCUCAUGGCCCAUAUGGGUAGGAGCUUCACACGUCAUACAAUGGUCGGGACAGAGGGGUCGCCAACCCGCGAGGGGGAGCCAAUCCCAGAAACCCGAUCCGUAGUCGGAUCGCAGUCUGCAACUCGGCUGCGUGAAGUCGAAUCGCUAGUAAUCGCGGAUCAGCAUGUCGCGGUGAAUACGUUCCCGGGUCUGUACACACCGCCCGUCACACCAUGGGAGUGGGUUUCACAAAUGGAUUAGCCUAACCGUAAGGAGGGCGAUUACCACGGUAGGAUUCAUGACUGGGGUGAAGUCGUAACAAGGUAG
This 1514-nucleotide ribosomal RNA is filed under the name uncultured Bordetella sp. RNAcentral's name for it is "partial 16S-23S ribosomal RNA intergenic spacer". It matches the Rfam family "Bacterial small subunit ribosomal RNA". Lineage: Bacteria; Pseudomonadati; Pseudomonadota; Betaproteobacteria; Burkholderiales; Alcaligenaceae. The record is from RNAcentral.